This 1657-nucleotide long non-coding RNA is filed under the name Coturnix japonica (Japanese quail). Its description in RNAcentral is "lncRNA (ENSCJPG00005002931.1)". Lineage: Eukaryota; Metazoa; Chordata; Aves; Galliformes; Phasianidae. The record is from RNAcentral.
UUUGGAAUCAAAAAUGGGGUGUUUCAGCCCAAAGAAAUGGGGUUCUUCAACACCAAAAUUGGGGCGUUUUCAGCCAAACAAUGGGUCUUCAAUGCAAAAAAUGGGGGGUUUGAACCCAAAAAUGGGGAGUUUGGAUCCAAAAAUGGGGGAUUUGAAGCUCAAAAUGGGCGUUUACAGCCCAAAAAUGGGGAGUUUGGACCUAAAAAUGGGGGUUUUCAGCCCAAAAAUGAGGGGUUUCAAUGCAGAAAUGGGGGGUUUCGACCCAAAAAUGGGGGUUUGGACUUAAAAAUGGGGAGUUUCAAUGCAAAAAUGGGGGGGUUGGACCCCAAAAUGGGGGAUUUCAGCCCAAAAAUGGGGGUUUCAAUGCAGAAAUGGGGGUUUGGACCCAAAAAUGGGGGUUUUUAACCCAAAAAUGGGGGUUUGAACCCAAAAAUGGGGGUUUGGACUUAAAAAUGGGGGGUUUCAAUGCAGAAAUGGGGGGUUUGGACCCAAAAAUGGGGGUUUUCAGCCCAAAAAUGGGGAGUUUGAACCCAAAAAUGGGGGGUUUCAGCCCAAAAAUGGGGGGUUUGGACCCAAAAAUGGGGAGUUUGAACCCAAAAAUGGGGGUUUGGACUUAAAAAUGGGUGUUUUCAGCCCAAAAAUGGGGAGUUUGGACCCAAAAAUGGGGGGUUUCAGCCCAAAAAUGGGGAGUUUCAACCCAAAAAUGGGGGUUUUCAGCCCAAAAAUGGGGGAUUCAUCCCAAAAAUGGGGGGUUUCGACCUAAAAAUGGGGGGUUUCAACCCAAAAAUGGGGGAUUGGACCUAAAAAUGGGGAGUUUGAACCCAAAAAUGGGGGGCUUCAACCCAAAAAUGGGAGUUUGGACCCCAAAAUGGGGAGUUUUCAGCCCAAAAAUGGGGGGUUUCAAUGCAGAAAUGGGGGGUUUGAACUCAAAAAAUGGGGGUUUGGAUCCAAAAAUGGGGGUUUUCAGCCCAAAAAUGGGGGUUUCGACCCAAAAAUGGGGGUUUUCAGCCCAAAAAUGGGGGUUUCGACCCAAAAAUGGGGGUUAUGGGGGGUUUCAACCCAAAAAUGGGGGGUUUGGACCCAAAAAUGGGGGGUUUGGACUUAAAAAUGGGGAGUUUCAAUGCAGAAAUGGGGGGUUUGAACCCAAAACUGGGGAGUUUGAACCCAAAAAUGGGUGUUUUCAGCCCAAAAAUGGGGGUUUGAACCCAAAAAUGGGGGUUUUCAGCCCAAAAAUGGGGGGUUUCAGCCCAAAAAUGGGUGUUUGAACCCAAAAGUGGGGAGUUUGGACCCCAAAAUGGGGUUUUUCAGCCCAAAAAUGGGGGGUUUCAAUGCAGAAAUGGGGGGUUUGAACCCAAAAAUGGGGGUUUUCAGCCAAAAAUGGGGGGUAUGGACCUUAAAAUGGGGGUUUUCAGCCCAAAAAUGGGGAUUUACAGCCCAAAAAUGGGGGGUUUGGACCCAAAAAUGGGGGGUUUGGACCCAAAAAUGGGGAUUUUCAGCCCAAAAAAUGGGGAGUUUGGACCCAAAAAUGGGGGUUUGACCCAAAAAUGGGGGUUUUCAGCCCCAAAAAUGGGGAGUUUGAACCCAAAAAUGGGGGAUUUGAAGCUCAAAAUGGGCGUUUACAGCCCAAAAAUGGGGAGUUUGGACCUAAAAAUGGGGG